Molecule: ribosomal RNA, 1299 nt
Filed under: Staphylococcus aureus
Lineage: Bacteria; Bacillati; Bacillota; Bacilli; Caryophanales; Staphylococcaceae
Description: bacterial SSU rRNA
Rfam family: Bacterial small subunit ribosomal RNA
Source: RNAcentral
CGGGUGAGUAACACGUGGAUAACCUACCUAUAAGACUGGGAUAACUUCGGGAAACCGGAGCUAAUACCGGAUAAUAUUUUGAACCGCAUGGUUCAAAAGUGAAAGACGGUCUUGCUGUCACUUAUAGAUGGAUCCGCGCUGCAUUAGCUAGUUGGUAAGGUAACGGCUUACCAAGGCAACGAUGCAUAGCCGACCUGAGAGGGUGAUCGGCCACACUGGAACUGAGACACGGUCCAGACUCCUACGGGAGGCAGCAGUAGGGAAUCUUCCGCAAUGGGCGAAAGCCUGACGGAGCAACGCCGCGUGAGUGAUGAAGGUCUUCGGAUCGUAAAACUCUGUUAUUAGGGAAGAACAUAUGUGUAAGUAACUGUGCACAUCUUGACGGUACCUAAUCAGAAAGCCACGGCUAACUACGUGCCAGCAGCCGCGGUAAUACGUAGGUGGCAAGCGUUAUCCGGAAUUAUUGGGCGUAAAGCGCGCGUAGGCGGUUUUUUAAGUCUGAUGUGAAAGCCCACGGCUCAACCGUGGAGGGUCAUUGGAAACUGGAAAACUUGAGUGCAGAAGAGGAAAGUGGAAUUCCAUGUGUAGCGGUGAAAUGCGCAGAGAUAUGGAGGAACACCAGUGGCGAAGGCGACUUUCUGGUCUGUAACUGACGCUGAUGUGCGAAAGCGUGGGGAUCAAACAGGAUUAGAUACCCUGGUAGUCCACGCCGUAAACGAUGAGUGCUAAGUGUUAGGGGGUUUCCGCCCCUUAGUGCUGCAGCUAACGCAUUAAGCACUCCGCCUGGGGAGUACGACCGCAAGGUUGAAACUCAAAGGAAUUGACGGGGACCCGCACAAGCGGUGGAGCAUGUGGUUUAAUUCGAAGCAACGCGAAGAACCUUACCAAAUCUUGACAUCCUUUGACAACUCUAGAGAUAGAGCUUUCCCCUUCGGGGGACAAAGUGACAGGUGGUGCAUGGUUGUCGUCAGCUCGUGUCGUGAGAUGUUGGGUUAAGUCCCGCAACGAGCGCAACCCUUAAGCUUAGUUGCCAUCAUUAAGUUGGGCACUCUAAGUUGACUGCCGGUGACAAACCGGAGGAAGGUGGGGAUGACGUCAAAUCAUCAUGCCCCUUAUGAUUUGGGCUACACACGUGCUACAAUGGACAAUACAAAGGGCAGCGAAACCGUGAGGUCAAGCAAAUCCCAUAAAGUUGUUCUCAGUUCGGAUUGUAGUCUGCAACUCGACUACAUGAAGCUGGAAUCGCUAGUAAUCGUAGAUCAGCAUGCUACGGUGAAUACGUUCCCGGGUCUUGUACAC